RNAcentral lists this long non-coding RNA (1360 nucleotides) under Homo sapiens (human). Its description in RNAcentral is "non-protein coding lnc-RCC1-6:1". Lineage: Eukaryota; Metazoa; Chordata; Mammalia; Primates; Hominidae. The record is from RNAcentral.
CUACUCGGGAGGCUGAGGCAGGAGAAUGGCGUGAACCCGGGAAGCGGAGUUUGCAGUGAGCCGAGAUUGCGCCACUGCAGUCCGCAGUCCGGCCUGGGCGACAGAGCGAGACUCCGUCUCAAAAAAAAAAAAAAAAAGAAAUUAGUCGGGCGUGGUGGCGGGUGCCUGUAGUCCCAGCUACUCAGGAGGCUGAGGCAGGAGAAUGGCGUGAACCCGGGAGGUGGAGCUUGCAGUGAGCCGAGAUCACACCACUCUACUCCAGUCUGGGCGACAGAGCGAGACUCUAUCUCAAAAAAAAAAAAAAAAAAAGGCAACUGGGCCCCAGGGACUACUACCACCAAGAUGCGGAGACUGGUAGUGGCCCUGAAUGCCUGGCUGUGCUGUUAUUUAUUGUAUACAAGGCCAGGGGACAGGGUAAGGAGUGUCAGUCAUCUCCAAUGAUAGGUAACGGUCAUGUGAGUCACGUGUCCACCAGACGGGGGGGCCCUUCCCUGUUUGGUAGCCAAGGCGGAGAGAGAGGGGGGACAGCGUACGUCAUUAUUUCUUCUAUGCAUUUCUCUGAGAGAUCAAAGACUUUAAUAUUCUCACUAAUUCUGCUACUGCUAUCUAGAAGGCAGAGCCAGGUGUACAGAGUGGAACAUGAAAGUGGACCAGGAGCAUGACCGCUGAAGCACAGCAUCACAGGGAGACGUUUAGGCCUCCGGAUGGCUACAGGCAGGCUUGACUGAUGUCAGGCCUUCCACAAGAGGUGGUGGAGCAGAGUCUUCUCUAACUCCCCAGGGGAAAGGGAGACUACCGUUCCCGGUCUGCUAAGUAAUGGGUAAUGGGUGCCUUCCCAGGCACUGGCGCUACUGCUAGGCCAAGGUCGCUAAGUAACGGGUGCCUUCCUGGGCACUGCCGUUACCGCCCUUUAGUGGCCCUGUCCGGGUGUGACAGAGGGCUCACACUCUUGUCUUCUGGUCACUUCUCACCGUGUCCCUUCAGCUCCUAUCUCUGUAUGGCCUGGUUUUUCCUAGGUUAUAAUUGUAGAGCAGAUAUUAUUAUAAUAUUGGGAUAAAGAGUAAUGCUACAAAGUAAUGAUUGAUAAUAUUCAUAUAAAAUCAUGUCUAUAUUCUAUGUCUAAUAUACCUAUUCUUAUUUUAAGGAUUUUCUUUAUUAUACUGGAACAGCUUGUGCCUUCAGUCUCUCGCCUCAGCAGCUGGGUGGCUUGCCGCCCACACACCUGUAAUCCCAGCACUUAGGGAGGCUGAGGUGGGUGGCUCACCUGAGGUCAGGAGUUCAAGACCGGCCUGGCCAACAUGGUGAAACCCUGUAUCUACUAAAUCUACUAAAAAUAUAACAAAUUAGCUGGGUAUGGUGG